This 306-nucleotide unclassified non-coding RNA is filed under the name plant metagenome. RNAcentral's name for it is "partial contains 5.8S ribosomal RNA, internal transcribed spacer 2, and large subunit ribosomal RNA". The stretch from base 1 to 105 matches the Rfam family "5.8S ribosomal RNA", at positions 50 to 154 of the family's 154-position model. The record is from RNAcentral.
GAAAUGCGAUAAGUAAUAUGAAUUGCAGAAUUCAGUGAAUCAUCGAAUCUUUGAACGCACAUUGCGCCCGCCAGUAUUCUGGCGGGCAUGCCUGUCCGAGCGUCAUUUCAACCAUCAAGCCCCCGGGCUUGUGUUGGGGACCUGCGGCUGCCCGCAGGCCCUGAAAACCAGUGGCGGGCUCGCUGUCACACCGAGCGUAGUAGCAAUCACCUCGCUCAGGGCGUGCUGCGGGUUCCGGCCGUUAAACAGCCUUACAAAACCCAAGGUUGACCUCGGAUCAGGUAGGAAGACCCGCUGAACUUAAGC